This 254-nucleotide ribosomal RNA is filed under the name uncultured bacterium. Its description in RNAcentral is "partial 16S ribosomal RNA". It matches the Rfam family "Bacterial small subunit ribosomal RNA", at positions 524 to 776 of the family's 1533-position model. The record is from RNAcentral.
UACGUAGGGGGCAAGCGUUGUCCGGAAUCAUUGGGCGUAAAGAGCUCGUAGGCGGUGUGUCACGUCGGCCGUGAAAACCUGGGGCUUAACUCUGGGCGUGCGGUCGAUACGGGCAUCACUAGAGUUCGGCAGGGGAGACUGGAAUUCCUGGUGUAGCGGUGAAAUGCGCAGAUAUCAGGAGGAACACCGGUGGCGAAGGCGGGUCUCUGGGCCGAUACUGACGCUGAGGAGCGAAAGCAUGGGUAGCGAACAGG